Molecule: long non-coding RNA, 532 nt
Filed under: Medicago truncatula (barrel medic)
Lineage: Eukaryota; Viridiplantae; Streptophyta; Magnoliopsida; Fabales; Fabaceae
Description: lncRNA gene39659
Source: RNAcentral
CUCCCUUAAAAAAGACAUAAAAAAGCAUUUUCUAGAUUUUAAAAAGAAUGGAAUUUUAAUGGCUUGAUGGAUUAUGAGGUUGAUACACCUUUUCAUUUGAAUCUAAUUGCUAAUGCUACUUUCUUCCAACAGAUUUUCAGAUAUCCAAAACGGAUGAGUCGCUAACUUAAUCAUUCUUAGAUAAGAAUCUAGAUAAAUCUUUUAUUGCAAUGAGCCACUUUAUUAUAGAUAUUUUAUUGCAAUGAGUCACUCUAUUAUAUCUAUUAUAUUAACGAGGAUUGUGUAAUUUUUUUGCUAUGAUUAUGCCUAUAUGCAUUCGAAUGAAACAAAAGGGCGUAAAUUAUAUUGAUGAAAUUAGUUAAUGUAGCUCAAUUCUCAUUCUCCUAUAUUAUACUACAUCAAGAGCAUAACUUAUAUUUAAUUAUGAUUGGUAUUCUAUUUCGCUAUUCUUAAUUUAAGAGUUACAAGUUUAUGUUUAACCUUCCUUUUCAAAAAAGUUUAUGUUUAACCGUAUGAAGGUACGCACUUUUUC